GUCCACGCCGUAACGAUGGAUACUAGCUGUUGGGAGUAAUCUCAGUGGCUAAGCGAAAGUGAUAAGUAUCCCACCUGGGGAGUACGUUCGCAAGAAUGAAACUCAAAGGAAUUGACGGGGCCCGCACAAGCGGUGGAGCAUGUGGUUUAAUUCGAUGAUACGCGAGGAACCUUACCAAGGCUUAAAUGUAGAUUGACCGGUUUGGAAACAGAUCUUUCGCAAGACAAUUUACAAGGUGCUGCAUGGUUGUCGU
RNAcentral lists this ribosomal RNA (253 nucleotides) under uncultured bacterium. RNAcentral describes it as "partial 16S ribosomal RNA". It matches the Rfam family "Bacterial small subunit ribosomal RNA", at positions 793 to 1055 of the family's 1533-position model. The record is from RNAcentral.